GGGGCCCAAAUGAUUAGUCCAAAAUAAAUGCAUAGUUCAAAUCUAGGAUGCGUCCAAUGCGAACAACAAUACCAUCAUCUAAGUCUUUCGCUCCUAUAUGAUGGAACCG
RNAcentral lists this small nucleolar RNA (109 nucleotides) under Malassezia sympodialis ATCC 42132. Its description in RNAcentral is "Small nucleolar RNA snR60/Z15/Z230/Z193/J17". It matches the Rfam family "Small nucleolar RNA snR60/Z15/Z230/Z193/J17". Rfam says of the family: The members of this family belong to the C/D class of snoRNAs which contain the C (UGAUGA) and D (CUGA) box motifs. Most of the members of the box C/D family function in directing site-specific 2'-O-methylation of substrate RNAs. The family includes the yeast snoRNA snR60 (also known as Z15) and the corresponding human guide snoRNA U80 (SNORD80). Lineage: Eukaryota; Fungi; Basidiomycota; Malasseziomycetes; Malasseziales; Malasseziaceae. The record is from Rfam by way of RNAcentral.